RNAcentral lists this long non-coding RNA (1111 nucleotides) under Mus musculus (house mouse). RNAcentral describes it as "long non-coding RNA chr16:20128105-20129216". Lineage: Eukaryota; Metazoa; Chordata; Mammalia; Rodentia; Muridae. The record is from RNAcentral.
GAGAUCUGACUCCCUCUUCUGGAGUGUCUGAGGACAGCUACAGUGUACUUACAUAUAACCAAUAAAUAAAUCUUUAAAAAAAAAUAAGUAUCACUAAAAUGUUGUAUGUGAGCCUUUUACAUGUGUGUGGUUGCCUUAAAUAUCAAACUUAUACAGUGCUAAAGGUGAUAGAACAUAGAAAGUGAAGUCAUAACUUCAUAUAUUGUUCCAAAGAAGUUUUGUUUUAAUGUUUGUGCCUUAAGCUACCCAGUGCCAUUUUAGUCUGAUAAACCUCAGUAUUGGUUUUUGAGGGUCUAGUUUUGUUUUAUUUUUUGAGUCCGGGCGAUAUAGAUCCAAGGCUUGCCUAAAACUCUGUUUUGCUGAAAAUGAUCUUGAACUCCAAUCAUUCUGUCAUAGCUCCCAAGUGCUUGGAUGAUAGCUUGUGCCACCAUGCUUGGCUGUGUGGGUUUCUGUGGUCUGGGUGGGUUGUUUGGUUGGUUCUUCAAUUGGUUGAUUUAAUGUAGCCCUGGCUAACCUGGAACUCAGUAUAUGACCAGGUUGACCUUGAGCUAGUGGCAAUUCUCCUGCCUCUGUCUGUGAGUGCUGAUGCUUUUGUGAAUACCAGCUGCCUGCUAGGCAGAAAGAGAAUGUUAACUGAGGUUGUUGCUUGGAGUUUUACAUUUUUAACUUUUGGUACCUAGGUGCUUUGUAAAAUACUCAGAUAAAUACCCACUGAGCUAUUUGGAAUAGUGAAGAGUAUGCGUAGUUAUUUCUGUUUGUCAUUAUAUUAGUAGUGCUGCUCCAGGCUUUUCCUUGAGAAAACACUUCCUCUUCAUCGCUCCCGCUCCUGCAGUGUGAGUCUCCAGAGCUAUCGAAGGCUUUCAGAACCGAACAAGUGUGCGUGCUUUUCUGUAACUUCCACACAGCCAUUGCCUAGAGUGAAUGCUCACAGUGAAGAAAGGAGUGUUCUCCAUGUCCUUGUUCUCCGUUCAGCAGUAGUACAGUAAUGUAGUACAGUAAUGCUUACAGUUUUGUUUAAUUGCACUUCCUCCAUAGUUUAAAUUUUUAAAAGUUGUAUCUAAUGUCUUUUAAACAUUACUUGACUAUAUGGUUACAUUAAAUUUUGUUUACC